UGCUAGCAGACAGAAGCAGUUUAUGGAGGAAGUAGUGGUGAGCACGGAUCAGGCAGGUGCUUGACAGAAGAGGACAUGCAGAGAGGAAAAAGAAGAUAUAGAAGUGACAUUGAAGGGAAAAGGUUGUCAGUAAGAGUUAUUUCAUGAUAGAAGAAAAUUCCAUUGGUGUAGACUCUACUAUCAAAUCUUCUUCUGUCCCAUUGCUAGGAGAAUAGAUGUACAACCACAGGACGGGCACCUGGAAAAUGCUACCACAGUGUGUUAAGGCAGUGAGUCAAAACUCAAGUCUGUGUGGCUCUGACAUAAUGGAUUUACCCACAGUAGGAGAGGUUGCAGUGUUCCAAUAACCAGCUCCCACACUUGGAUUCCAAGUCUUGGUCCCCACGUGAUCCACCAGCUCCUGACAGCAGAAGCAGCAUUCUUCUGCAGGAUGAAGCAGGAGCAGAAGAUGCUUUCCUCAGAUUGGAUGUUCCUUGGACUCAGACUCAGCUGGAACAGAGUUUCCUGAGCAAAGAGCUUACCUGGAGGCUGAAUGGUCCUUCUCACAUCAUGAAUUGCUUCAAGAAUUUUAUUUUCUACUUGGACAGAGGACAAUCCAGCCAUCAUUUAGAAUAAGUAUCAUGUGAUCUCCAGGACUAGGAUCGUUCCAUGGCCCCCUCUACAGCCAGCCAACAAUAGUGUUUCUUUGCAACAUCAUUUGAGGUGCAAAGCAAGCUCCAAAGGGGACGACGUGUGCUGCUUGGUCUCCAGGAUGGACUUGUCACACUGGCUUCCUGACAUGUAUCCGACUUCUUGUCCUUGGAGCAGCUCGGGGCCUCCAUGUUGCUGAGGAUGGAUGGGUGCUUUUCAGGACAGCUCUGGUCUUUGUUGUGAAUGUGACUUCUCGGCUCCAGUGUAGAACCCUCAACCCACCAGCACAGCUCCUUCACCCCGCUGGCAUAGACUUUCUGGCUUCUACCACUGAUCUUUGGGCCUUCCUGGCAUGGAUCCAUAAGAGAGACUGGCGUGAGUCCUUUUGGUGGGCUCUAGACCUCCAGGUGGACUCAUGGGAGGCACUGUAAUGAGCUCUGGGUCUUCAUCUAGACUCAUGCAGGACAUUGCUGUGGGAUUCCGACCCUUGGCUAAAUAUUCUGGCUUUAGUGUUGUGGAUAGAUUUCCUGCAGUUUCUUGUAUUAACUCUGGGUGACCACCAUAAAUAAUAUUGUAAACUCCAUGUCCUGAUUCUAAUUGUUCUCCUCACAGCCCCUGAUUACAACACCUCCCCAUUUUAAAUAUGUUUAUCCCAUUGUUCUUGUAACUUUCUGAGGCAGUUCUGGAAAUCCUCUUUCAUGAGUGUCUUCACUUUUGCUGUCAUGGUUUACCUUUCAUGGUCAUUUUGACUCUGAGAAAAACCCAGAGCUUGCAGUAGCCAACCCAGUGAAUUAGGUGAAUGAAAAUGCACCAUACUAUUGUUAAGAGCUGUCUUUCUGUUGAGUGUCACACAGCAACAGCAUUUACUGUAUUUUUUAAUCACACCUCACAAAGGCUUUCAUAAAAAUAGACUUCCCAAACUUCUUCAGAAGAUGGCAAAGACACAUUAGGAUAAGUUGUGAGAGGUGGUGUUUUGAGGGGUACUAGU
Molecule: long non-coding RNA, 1618 nt
Organism: Cavia porcellus (domestic guinea pig)
Lineage: Eukaryota; Metazoa; Chordata; Mammalia; Rodentia; Caviidae
Exons: 8
Source: RefSeq, a predicted model, not a curated record